This 252-nucleotide ribosomal RNA is filed under the name uncultured bacterium. RNAcentral's name for it is "partial 16S ribosomal RNA". It matches the Rfam family "Bacterial small subunit ribosomal RNA", at positions 524 to 776 of the family's 1533-position model. The record is from RNAcentral.
UACGGAGGAUGCGAGCGUUACCCGGAUUUAUUGGGUUUAAAGGGUGCGUAGGCGGAUCGUUAAGUCAGUGGUCAAAUUGAGGGGCUCAACCCCUUCCCGCCAUUGAAACUGGCGAUCUUGAGUGGAAGAGAAGUAUGCGGAAUGCGUGGUGUAGCGGUGAAAUGCAUAGAUAUCACGCAGAACCCCGAUUGCGAAGGCAGCAUGCCGGCUUCCUACUGACGCUGAAGCACGAAAGCGUGGGGAUCGAACAGG